UUCUUGGUCAUUUAGAGGAAGUAAAGGUCGUAACAAGGUUUCCGUAGGUGAACCUGCGGAAGGAUCAUUAAAGAAAUUUAAUAAUUUUGAAAAUGGAUUUUUUUGUUUUGGCAAGAGCAUGAGAGCUUUUACUGGGCAAGAAGACAAGAGAUGGAGAGUCCAGCCGGGCCUGCGCUUAAGUGCGCGGUCGUGCUAGGCUUGUAAGUUUCUUUCUUGCUAUUCCAAACGGUGAGAGAUUUCUGUGCUUUUGUUAUAGGACAAUUAAAACCGUUUCAAUACAACACACUGUGGAGUUUUCAUAUCUUUGCAACUUUUUCUUUGGGCAUUCGAGCAAUCGGGGCCCAGAGGUAACAAACACAAACAAUUUUAUCUAUUCAUUAAAUUUUUGUCAAAAACAAGAAUUUUCGUAACUGGAAAUUUUAAAAUAUUAAAAACUUUCAACAACGGAUCUCUUGGUUCUCGCAUCGAUGAAGAACGCAGCGAAAUGCGAUACGUAAUGUGAAUUGCAGAAUUCCGUGAAUCAUCGAAUCUUUGAACGCACAUUGCGCCCCUUGGUAUUCCAGGGGGCAUGCCUGUUUGAGCGUCAUUUCCUUCUCAAACAUUCUGUUUGGUAGUGAGUGAUACUCUUUGGAGUUAACUUGAAAUUGCUGGCCUUUUCAUUGGAUGUUUUUUUUCCAAAGAGAGGUUUCUCUGCGUGCUUGAGGUAUAAUGCAAGUACGGUCGUUUUAGGUUUUACCAACUGCGGCUAAUCUUUUUUUAUACUGAGCGUAUUGGAACGUUAUCGAUAAGAAGAGAGCGUCUAGGCGAACAAUGUUCUUAAAGUUUGACCUCAAAUCAGGUAGGAGUACCCGCUGAACUUAAGCAUAUCAAUAAGCGGAGGAA
RNAcentral lists this ribosomal RNA (882 nucleotides) under uncultured fungus. Its description in RNAcentral is "eukaryotic LSU rRNA". The stretch from base 433 to 586 matches the Rfam family "5.8S ribosomal RNA". The record is from RNAcentral. Lineage: Eukaryota; Fungi.